GUAUCUGAAUUCUGCUUUACUAUUGCAAGGUCCUUUAUAGACAGCAGUGAUGGGAAAUCCAUAAUCAUUUCACCAGAGCUUAGUCUAACACUUUUAUAGCUUCUGUUUAUAAUUUUAUAGGAAGGGGUCCUAGAAUGAUCCCCAUAACUUCUGGGGAAGGACACAUAAUAUCAGGUGUUAAAAGCACAGUCAUUAAAGCCAGACACCAAUCAACCUUUCUAUUAGCACAGUCUCAUCAAUAUUCUGAAGCUUAUUCUCCUAAAAACAGUCCAUAUUAACUAUUCAGUAUUGUCACUUAACAGGAGAUUUUAUUUAUUUUUUCUCUUUUUUUUAUUUUUCUGGGUACAGAGUAGGUAUAUAUAUUUACGGGGUACAUGAGAUGUUUCGAUACAGGCAUGCAGUGUGAAAUAAGGACAUCAUAGAGAAUGGGGUACCUAUCCUCUCAAGCAUUUAUCCUUUGAGUUACAAAAAAUCCAAUUGCACUCUUUAAGCUAUUUUAAAAUGCACAGUUAGGUUAUUAUUGGUAUGGUUACCUUGUUGUGCUAUCAAAGAGUGGGCCUUAUUCAUUCUUUCUAACUUUUUUUUGGUACCCAUUAACCAUCCACACCUCCCCACUAGUCCCCAAUUACCCUUCCUAGCCUCUGGUAACCAUCCUUCUACUGUGUUCAUGAGUUCAAUUGCUUUCAUUUUUAGACCCCACAGAUAAGAACAUGCAAUGUUUGUCUUUCUGUGCCUGGCUUAUGUCAUUCAACAUAAUGCCCUCCAGUUCCAUCCAUGUUGUUGCAAAUGACUAUCUCUCAUUCUUUUUUAUGGCUGAAUAGUAUUCCAUUGUGU
Molecule: long non-coding RNA, 834 nt
Filed under: Pan troglodytes (chimpanzee)
Lineage: Eukaryota; Metazoa; Chordata; Mammalia; Primates; Hominidae
Description: long non-coding RNA NONPTRT015509
Source: RNAcentral